This 351-nucleotide long non-coding RNA is filed under the name Schizosaccharomyces pombe (fission yeast). Lineage: Eukaryota; Fungi; Ascomycota; Schizosaccharomycetes; Schizosaccharomycetales; Schizosaccharomycetaceae. The record is from RNAcentral.
CAUAAUCGACUUUGAAGAACUGACAUCGUUGAGCAUACUUGUUCUUAACCGUUUGCAAAGCUGUUCGACGUAUACAAUUUUCCAAUUUUAUAACUUUUCCAUGAGUACGUCGAACAUGAUGGCGAAAGGUAUCCAUGAUUGCAUGUACGAAUCCUGUUCCGUUUUUUGUGCACGGCACACACUCAUAUCCAUUUAAAAGUACUGGUAGUCCUCUGAUGUAUGGGUAUACAUGGGUUUGAGAAGAAUGAGUUUGUAAAACAUUUGUUGGACUUUUUAACUUUAAAGUCCUUAGUUCUUGAAACCACAAAAGAUCUUCGUUUAACUCUAGUUUAUGCACAAUUUGCAUAUGUU